GGACGAACGCUGGCGGCGUGCUUAACACAUGCAAGUCGAGCGGUAAGGCCCUUUCGGGGGUACACGAGCGGCGAACGGGUGAGCAACACGUGGGUGACCUGCCCUUAGCUCUGGGAUAAGCCUGGGAAACUGGGUCUAAUACCGGAUAUGACUCCAUGACGCAUGUUGUGGGGUGGAAAGCCUUGUGCGGCUAGGGAUGGGACCCGCGGCCUAUCAGCUUGUUGGUGGGGUGANGGCCUACCAAGGCGACGACGGGUAGCCGGCCUGAGAGGGCGACCGGCCACACUGGGACUGAGACACGGCCCAGACUCCUACGGGAGGCAGCAGUGGGGAAUCUUGCGCAAUGGGCGAAAGCCUGACGCAGCGACGCCGCGUGGGGAUGACGGCCUCGG
This 392-nucleotide ribosomal RNA is filed under the name uncultured bacterium. Its description in RNAcentral is "bacterial SSU rRNA". It matches the Rfam family "Bacterial small subunit ribosomal RNA", at positions 27 to 420 of the family's 1533-position model. The record is from RNAcentral.